GGAAGAGAUGUAUUUAUUAGAUAAAAAACCAAUGCGUUCGGGCUCUAUGGUGAAUCAUAAUAACUUGUCGAAUCGCAUGGCCUUGUGCCGGCGAUGGUUCAUUCAAAUUUCUGCCCUAUCAACUUUCGAUGGUAGGAUCAAGGCCUACCAUGGUUUUAACGGGUAACGGCCAAUCAGGGUUCGAUUCCGGAGAGGUUGCCUGAGAAACGGCUACCACAUCCAAGGAAGGCAAUAGGCGCGCAAAUUACCCAAUCCUGACACAGGGAGGUAGUGACAAUAAAUAACGAUACGGGGCCUAUUAGGUCUCGUAAUUGGAAUGAGAACAAUUUAAAUACCUUAACGAGGAACAAUUAGAGGGCAAGUCUGGUGCCAGCAGCCGCGGUAAUUCCAGCUCUGAUAGUAUAUAUUAAAGUUGUUGCAGUUAAAAAGCUCGUAGUUGAAACUUGGGUGCGUAGGGGCGGUCCCUUUUAGAGUACUACCCUGAAACAUCUUUCUUUGGUGUAAACUCUUUAUUCAGUUAAGGAGUGUAAACCAAACAUUUAC
This 543-nucleotide ribosomal RNA is filed under the name uncultured Galactomyces. Its description in RNAcentral is "SSU rRNA". It matches the Rfam family "Eukaryotic small subunit ribosomal RNA", at positions 194 to 755 of the family's 1831-position model. Lineage: Eukaryota; Fungi; Ascomycota; Dipodascomycetes; Dipodascales; Dipodascaceae. The record is from RNAcentral.